AGAGAUAAGUUCCUAGCGGCGAACGGGUGAGUAACACGUGGGCAACCUUUCCUAUCGCGGGGGAUAACCCGGGGAAACUCGGGCUAAUACCGCAUAUGACCGGAAGGUCAAAGGGGGCCGCAAGGCUCCCGCCUUUGGAGGAGUCCGCGUUCGAUUAGCUAGUUGGUAGGGUAAUGGCCUACCAAGGCGACGAUCGAUAGCCGGCCUGAGAGGGUGAUCGGCCACACUGGAACUGAGACACGGUCCAG
This 248-nucleotide ribosomal RNA is filed under the name uncultured bacterium. RNAcentral describes it as "partial 16S ribosomal RNA". It matches the Rfam family "Bacterial small subunit ribosomal RNA", at positions 80 to 334 of the family's 1533-position model. The record is from RNAcentral.